CCCAUACCCAUGUGUGUGGGACCCCAAAGGAUCACCAUUAAAUUUAAUACAGAUGUCUAGAAAAAUUAUCACAUGGGCGUGGGAGUUUAUUUUUCUAGAGAUCUGUGCCAAAUUUAAUGGUGAUCCUUUGGGGUCCUACACACAUGGGUGUGGG
RNAcentral lists this microRNA precursor (154 nucleotides) under Amborella trichopoda. Its description in RNAcentral is "MIR8565 microRNA precursor family". It matches the Rfam family "MIR8565 microRNA precursor family". Lineage: Eukaryota; Viridiplantae; Streptophyta; Magnoliopsida; Amborellales; Amborellaceae. The record is from Rfam by way of RNAcentral.